RNAcentral lists this ribosomal RNA (253 nucleotides) under uncultured bacterium. RNAcentral's name for it is "partial 16S ribosomal RNA". It matches the Rfam family "Bacterial small subunit ribosomal RNA", at positions 524 to 776 of the family's 1533-position model. The record is from RNAcentral.
UACGUAGGAGACUAGCGUUGUCCGGAAUUACUGGGCGUAAAGCGCGCGUAGGUGGCUUCGUAAGUCCGUUGUGAAAGUCAAAGGCUCAACCUUUGAAUGCCGAUGGAUACUGCGAAGCUAGAGUACGGAAGAGGCGAGUGGAAUUCCUGGUGUAGCGGUGGAAUGCGCAGAUAUCAGGAGGAACACCAAUAGCGAAGGCAGCUCGCUGGGACGUUACUGACACUAAGGCGCGAAAGCGUGGGGAGCGAACAGG